CAAUAGCGUAUAUUUAAGUUGUUGCAGUCAAAAAGCUCGUAGUCGGAUUUUGGCUGAGAACGAUCGGUCCGCCGUUAGGUGUGCACUGAUUGGUCUCAGCUUCCUGGUGAGGAGGUGUGCUUCACGGCCACUUAGUCACCGUGGUUACUUUGAAAAAAUUAGAGUGUUCAAAGCGGGCUUACGCUUGAAUAUAUUAGCAUGGAAUAACACCAUAGGACUCCUGUCCUAUUUCGUUGGUCUCGGGACGGGAGUAAUGAUUAAGAGGAACAGUUGGGGGCAUUCGUAUUUCAUUGUCAGAGGUGAAAUUCUUGGAUUUAUGAAAGACGAACUUCUGCGAAAGCAUUUGCCAAGGAUGUUUUCAUUGA
RNAcentral lists this ribosomal RNA (365 nucleotides) under uncultured eukaryote. RNAcentral's name for it is "partial 18S ribosomal RNA". It matches the Rfam family "Eukaryotic small subunit ribosomal RNA", at positions 592 to 976 of the family's 1831-position model. The record is from RNAcentral.